CGCGUAGGCGGCCUCUCAAGCGGGAUCUCUAAUCCGAGGGCUCAACCCCCGGCCGGAUCCCGAACUGGGAGGCUCGAGUUCGGUAGAGGCAGGCGGAAUUCCCGGUGUAGCGGUGGAAUGCACAGAUAUCGGGAAGAACACCGAUGGCGAAGGCAGCCUGCUGGGCCGCAACUGACGCUGAGGCGCGAAAGCUAGGGGAGCGAACA
This 206-nucleotide ribosomal RNA is filed under the name uncultured bacterium. Its description in RNAcentral is "partial 16S ribosomal RNA". It matches the Rfam family "Bacterial small subunit ribosomal RNA", at positions 568 to 774 of the family's 1533-position model. The record is from RNAcentral.